AGUGAACGCUGGCGGUAGGCCUAACACAUGCAAGUCGAACGGCAGCACAGUAAGAGCUUGCUCUUACGGGUGGCGAGUGGCGGACGGGUGAGGAAUACAUCGGAAUCUACUUUUUCGUGGGGGAUAACGUAGGGAAACUUACGCUAAUACCGCAUACGACCUACGGGUGAAAGCAGGGGAUCUUCGGACCUUGCGCGAUUGAAUGAGCCGAUGUCGGAUUAGCUAGUUGGCGGGGUAAAGGCCCACCAAGGCGACGAUCCGUAGCUGGUCUGAGAGGAUGAUCAGCCACACUGAAACUGAGACACGGUCCAGACUCCUACGGGAGGCAGCAGUGGGGAAUAUUGGACAAUGGGCGCAAGCCUGAUCCAGCCAUACCGCGUGGUGAAGAAGGCCUUCGGGUUGUAAAGCCCUUUUGUUGGGAAAGAAAAGCAGCAGGUUAAUACCCCGCUGUUCUGACGGUACCCAAAGAAUAAGCACCGGCUAACUUCGUG
This 491-nucleotide ribosomal RNA is filed under the name uncultured bacterium. Its description in RNAcentral is "partial 16S ribosomal RNA". It matches the Rfam family "Bacterial small subunit ribosomal RNA", at positions 29 to 507 of the family's 1533-position model. The record is from RNAcentral.